UUUCUCUGUGGAACAAAAAUUCCUUUCAUGCUAGUGACAAAGCUGAGGAAAAUGAUGCAUAAACUAACUGGAAAUCAAAUAUUAAUAUGAAGAUUCUCUCCUGCUAGAAGACAGGGAGAUACAUGCUCAGGUAUGAAUUCAGCUUUAGAUGGACAGUGGAUGCUGGCCGUGUUCAAAGAUCUAGUCCAAGGGAGGAGGGAUGGAUGACAGACCAAGCAGGAUCUGGAGUUAGCAAGAUAUUCCGAGUGUUGGGCUGCUCCUUUUUACCUCCAUCAAGGGUGAAGGUGACAUGCUUGGAUCUCCCAGGCUGAGAGCUGUCAUUUUGAUCUGGAGGCGGAUCCAAAGGGAGAAAAAUGACACUUACUUUUCUGAGGGGCUUGUGUUUCCAUGGGCAAAACAUUGCUAGUUCCAACACACAUUCAUAUGGACAUGUCCAGCACUAGGUUUUCCUCAUCUUCACUGGUGAAAAUGAAUGCAGUGCUCUUCCUUGUGCAAACAGGACUUCAUUCAUUUAUGCAGUUAUUAAGGAAACCUCGGCGUUGUGGACAUGCACACAAGGGUCUGAUGGUCUCAGCAAACUACUGUUCCUUUGUGGUGGGUGCCUAAUGCAGUAGUGACACAGAAUUUACAUGACAAAGGAAUGAAAAAAUAUCUUUAGUACUGGCUUCCAGAUGACUGAAGGCUAGGUUUCAAUAAAAGGAGUCAUGAUUUGUGCACUAGUUUGCAAAAUUGCCUCUCUUUGCUGGGGGAAAACAUUGUCUGUUUGCUGCUUUCAGGGUGUUUGCUGCUUUCAGCGUGUUUCCUACAACAGAGCCAUGAUUGGGCACCACAGCAGGUGGUGGUGUCUUUGUGUUGGGCAGCUGUGGCUCCCCACUGAAUCUACUGUUUCAGAUGUGGAUCUGCUACAGUUGCUCAGCCUACUGGGCUUAGCAGCCCCCGCAUCAUCUGCAUGAACUACUUUCAGCAGGGUCAAUGUAGUCUUGGGGUGGCAACUGGCACCUUAGAGCUGUCUUCUGUAGAGCUUGCUGAGCUUGGUGGCCACCUCAGUGCACAAAAAGUACUUCUCCAGAGAGGCUGUUUCCACCAGCAACUCCUAUAGUGGAAGAAUUAAUUUAAAAGCUUAUUUCUUCUGCCUCUUUUGGUGCACCUCCAGCUAUGUCUAGCUUCCCUUGCCCCAUGUCUCCACAGGUCUUGCCAAAUAUUCGGGCUUUUUAGUGCAUUUUCCCUCAUUCCCAUUAUAAAAAAAUCCAGCUGCUGCAAAGAUUGCCUCUCUAGGGGAACUCAUCUGUGCUCAGCCAUCAUUGUCACCAUAACCUUCCCAAUGGAGUUUAAUGACGUGCUUGCGAUUAAGCAAUUACACAUUAUCAGGAACAGAGUAAAUCAAGCCUUUUAUCUCCACUAACAGGAUAUUUCCUGUUAGUGAGCGUUCCUGCCAAAAGAACCUAAGGGAAAGAUAGGAUGUUUUUCAUGUUAUGUAAGCUUAUUUAUUGAGGCAGCUUGCACGGCCAUGUGUUGGAUGCAGCCACCUCUGCUCUGGCACAGCCACCCAACUCCCACCCCACAUGGUAAGGGGACCAGACCUGCACAGUCGUGAGUGGUUGGGUGACAGUGAACCACAGCCACUUUUACGGCAUGCUGCCAAGGCCUGCUCAGAAGCAGGCAAAUGGUUUUCUAAGGUGCUACACACUUGCAGAUAAAAUUCCUGGGCUUGUCAGAUAGUUGUCUUGUCUGAAGACACCUCCUUUACAGACAGAAGGAUCUUGGAGCUGCUGCAAGCUUUGCUGUGCAGAUAAAAGAGGAAAGAGGCCACCCAUGCUCUUGCUCGCUCUGCAUUCAAUUAGCUCGCUCACUGAUGGGCUAGCACCGCAGAAUGGAUUUUCCCACUCAUUGAUCUCUUAAUGUAAAUGAGCUCUGGUUUUAAACUCAAACCAUACAUGCUCUUUUUCCCCUUGGAGCUUUUCUUCUCUUGUAUUGUGCUCAGACUAUAUUUUCCUCCUAGCUAGGAUGAGACCCAUCAUUGCAAUUGCAGGCCUGCAUUAUCCUUAUUUAUACAAACAGCCCUGAUAUGGCCAUUUGCCUCAAAAUGCCUGUAUUUAUUUAUCCUUUUUAUUGUCCUCCUCUUAUACUGUUUGAGAAGACCCUGUAAAUUUGUCUGGUGCAGCUCUUUCCUCUUAUUCCCUCAGGCUUUUUAUGCAGGAAUAGUUAAUAUCUUGUAUGUGUGAAAAUUUUCCGUAACUGUCUACAAAAGCAUGACUAGCCAAUAACAGUGAUGUUUUGAGCUAGGUGGGAUUCAUUCACGUAUUAUUUAAUUUAAGUUUUAAAAAGAGAUUGUCCUUUUUUUGUUCUUUGUGAUUAACAUGUUCUCUGUUGUCUUUCAGAUCUUGAUUAGGAACGUUACCUUCUGUAUCUGCAGGAAUAAUUACUUAGUGCCUAGUAGUCAAAAUAUCACCUGAACACAGCCUUUGAGAUCAGCAACACUGAAAAAAGCAAUAAAUAUAGUAGAACCCUAAGAGCUACUGGGAAACAAGGCUUAGAUUAUUUUGGACCAUUUAUUAGCAACAGCCAUAUCUAAGAACAGAUAUCUGAUGCGGGAAUUUAAGCAGAACAAGGUCUAAUGGAAUUACGCUCACCUUCCAAAGCAGAUUUCAUCAGUACUUCAGAAUCCAAAAUCUUUCCCCCAGUCUGAUUUCCGUCUCAGAGAAAAAGAAGCAGCUAGGUGUCAUGGUAGAAGGCAUUAAUUCUGAGUAAUAUUAUAGUUGCCCUCCUUAAGAAAAGGAAAAGACAAAUGCAACUUUUAAAAAUUUCUAUUGUCAUAAAAGAAAGUUUUUCUUAGCCAAGUGUGGUACGUUGGAACACUGCUAUUUAACAUUUAAUCACAUUCAAAUAGGCACUUCAUAAUAAAUAUUUAUGAAGACAGUAGCUCAUGAGUGUUGAGAUUAUUUCUAUUAAAAGCAGCAUAAAAAAAUCUAUCACUUUUGGUUUCUGUAUGAAAUCUGGCAAGAACAUGCCUCAGGUAUGACUGAAGAUAUGAAUUCU
This is a long non-coding RNA of Cuculus canorus (common cuckoo), 3036 nucleotides long. RefSeq lists it as uncharacterized. Lineage: Eukaryota; Metazoa; Chordata; Aves; Cuculiformes; Cuculidae. The record is from RefSeq and is a predicted model, not a curated record. The transcript has 3 exons.